UACGUAGGUCCCGAGCGUUGUCCGGAAUUACUGGGUGUAAAGGGUGCGCAGGCGGUCUUGUGCGUCAGAAGUGAAAUAUCACGGCUUAACCGUGAGGGUGCUUUUGAUACGGCAAGACUUGAGUACGGGAGAGGAUGAUGGAAUUCCUGGUGUAGCAGUGAAAUGCGUAGAUAUCAGGAGGAACACCGGUGGCGAAGGCGGUCAUCUGGCCCGGUACUGACGCUCAGGCACGAAAGUGUGG
RNAcentral lists this ribosomal RNA (241 nucleotides) under uncultured bacterium. RNAcentral's name for it is "partial 16S ribosomal RNA". It matches the Rfam family "Bacterial small subunit ribosomal RNA", at positions 524 to 764 of the family's 1533-position model. The record is from RNAcentral.